AGAGCGAACGCUGGCGGCAGGCCUAACACAUGCAAGUCGAGCGCGUGUAGCAAUACACGAGCGGCAGACGGGAGAGUAACACGUGGGAACGCGCCCUUCGGUUCGGAAUAACUCAGGGAAACUUGAGCUAAUACCGGAUACGCCCUUACGGGGGAAAGAUUUAUUGCCGAAGGAACGGCCCGCGUCCGAUUAGCUAGUUGGUGAGGUAACGGCUCACCAAGGCGACGAUCGGUAGCUGGUCUGAGAGGAUGACCAGCCUCACUGGGACUGAGACACGGCCCAGACUCCUACGGGAGGCAGCAGUGGGGAAUAUUGGACAAUGGGCGCAAGCCUGAUCCAGCCAUGCCGCGUGGAUGAUGAAGGCCUUAGGGUUGUAAAGUCCGUUUUAACGGGGAAGAUAAGUGACGGUACCCGUAGAAUAAGCCCCGGAUAACUUCGUGCCAGCAGCCGAC
Molecule: ribosomal RNA, 452 nt
Filed under: uncultured bacterium
Lineage: Bacteria
Description: SSU rRNA
Rfam family: Bacterial small subunit ribosomal RNA
Source: RNAcentral